GGGCCUGUAGCUCAGCUGGUUAGAGCUGCGGACUCAUAAUCCGUCGGUCGUAGGUUCGAGUCCUACCGGGCCCACCA
This 77-nucleotide transfer RNA is filed under the name Candidatus Kentrum sp. TUN. RNAcentral's name for it is "Candidatus Kentron sp. TUN tRNA_Met_CAT". It matches the Rfam family "tRNA". From Rfam's summary of the family: Transfer RNA (tRNA) molecules are approximately 80 nucleotides in length. Their secondary structure includes four short double-helical elements and three loops (D, anti-codon, and T loops). Lineage: Bacteria; Pseudomonadati; Pseudomonadota; Gammaproteobacteria. The record is from RNAcentral.